Molecule: ribosomal RNA, 481 nt
Filed under: uncultured bacterium
Lineage: Bacteria
Description: bacterial SSU rRNA
Rfam family: Bacterial small subunit ribosomal RNA
Source: RNAcentral
GGCCUAACACAUGCAAGUCGAGGGGCGAGCACAGGGAGCAAUCUGAGGUGGCGACCGGCGCACGGGUGAGUAACACGUAUGCAACCUGCCUGUAAGCGGGGAAUAACCCGUUGAAAGACGGACUAAUACCGCAUAAUACUAAAUUACUGCAUGGUAAUUUAUUUAAACAUUUUAUGGCUUACAGAUGGGCAUGCGCAUGAUUAGCUAGUUGGAGAGGUAACGGCUCCCCAAGGCAACGAUCAUUAGGGGUUCUGAGAGGAAGGUCCCCCACACUGGUACUGAGACACGGACCAGACUCCUACGGGAGGCAGCAGUGAGGAAUAUUGGUCAAUGGACGAGAGUCUGAACCAGCCAAGUCGCGUGCAGGAAGAAUGUUCCCUAUGGAUUGUAACUGCUUUUGCAGGGGAAUAAAGUGCAUCACGUGUGAUGUUUUGUAUGUACUCUGCGAAUAAGGAUCGGCUAACUCCGUGCCAGCCGCUGC